UACGUAGGGCGCAAGCGUUAUCCGGAAUUAUUGGGCGUAAAGAGCUCGUAGGCGGUUUGUCGCGUCUGCUGUGAAAACGCGAGGCUCAACCUCGCGCCUGCAGUGGGUACGGGCAGACUAGAGUGCGGUAGGGGAGAUUGGAAUUCCUGGUGUAGCGGUGGAAUGCGCAGAUAUCAGGAGGAACACCGAUGGCGAAGGCAGAUCUCUGGGCCGUAACUGACGCUGAGGAGCGAAAGCGUGGGGAGCGAACAGG
RNAcentral lists this ribosomal RNA (253 nucleotides) under uncultured bacterium. Its description in RNAcentral is "partial 16S ribosomal RNA". It matches the Rfam family "Bacterial small subunit ribosomal RNA", at positions 524 to 776 of the family's 1533-position model. The record is from RNAcentral.